CGCGUAGGCGGCAUGGCAAGUCUGGUGUAAAAUGCGACGGCUUAACCGUCAGAAUGCAUUGGAAACUGUCAAGCUAGAGUUUUGGAGGGGGAGUUGGAAUUCCUGGUGUAGGGGUGAAAUCUGUAGAUAUCAGGAAGAACACCGGUGGCGAAGGCGAACUCCUGGCCAUGAACUGACGCUAAUGCGCGAAAGCGUGGGGAGCGAACAGGAUUAGAUACCCUGGUAGUCC
RNAcentral lists this ribosomal RNA (229 nucleotides) under uncultured bacterium. Its description in RNAcentral is "partial 16S ribosomal RNA". It matches the Rfam family "Bacterial small subunit ribosomal RNA", at positions 568 to 796 of the family's 1533-position model. The record is from RNAcentral.